Molecule: small nucleolar RNA, 123 nt
Filed under: Echinops telfairi (small Madagascar hedgehog)
Lineage: Eukaryota; Metazoa; Chordata; Mammalia; Afrosoricida; Tenrecidae
Description: Small nucleolar RNA SNORA42/SNORA80 family (ENSETEG00000022709.1)
Source: RNAcentral
GGUUUUGGAUUGAUGGCAGGCCAAACCCCAUAAACUGCUCAUAGUCGCACAGCAAACUGUAACCCCGAACCAUUGCCUGGCUUUGUCCCAUGGGUGUCGGGCACUGAAGUGGGUUGCACAGUG